CCUACGGGAGGCAGCAGUGAGGAAUAUUGGUCAAUGGACGAGAGUCUGAACCAGCCACGUAGCGUGAAGGAUGACUGCCCUAUGGGUUGUAAACUUCUUUUAUAUGGGGAUAAAACGUUCCACGUGUGGGAUUUUGUAUGUACCAUAUGAAUAAGGAUAGGCUCACUCCGUGCCAGCAGCCGCGGUAAUACGGAGGAUCUGAGCGUUAUCCGGAUUUAUUGGGUUUAAAGGGAGCGUAGGUGGAUUGUUAAGUCAGUUGUGAAAGUUUGCGGCUCAACCGUAAAAUUGCAGUUGAAACUGGCAGUCUUGAGUACAGUAGAGGUGGGCGGAAUUCGUGGUGGAGCGGUGAAAUGCUUAGAUAUCACGAAGAACUCCGAUUGCGAAGGCAGUUCACUGGACUGCAACUGACACUGAGGCUCGAAAGUGUGGGUAUCAAACAGGAUUAGAUACCCCGGUAGUC
Molecule: ribosomal RNA, 460 nt
Filed under: uncultured bacterium
Lineage: Bacteria
Description: partial 16S ribosomal RNA
Rfam family: Bacterial small subunit ribosomal RNA
Source: RNAcentral